GUAAUACUCCCUUCGUCCCGGAUUACUUGUCGGAGGAAAUGGGUGAAAGUUGAUGUAUCUACAAAUAAAUUACGUCUAGAUACAUCCAUUUAUACAACAAGUGAUUCCGUAUGAAGGGAGUAUUUA
Non-coding RNA from Hordeum vulgare subsp. vulgare (domesticated barley), 126 nucleotides. The record is from Rfam. Lineage: Eukaryota; Viridiplantae; Streptophyta; Magnoliopsida; Poales; Poaceae.